AGAAUCAACGCUGGCGGCGUGCCUAACACAUGCAAGUCGCACGAGAAAGGGAGUUCGCUCCUGAGUAAAGUGGCGCACGGGUGAGUAACACGUGAAUCAUCUACCUCCGAAUGGGGAAUAACUGAGAGAAAUCUUAGCUAAUACCGCAUAAUACCUACGGGUCAAAGCAGCAAUGCGUUUGGAGAGGAGUUCGCGGUCGAUUAGUUAGUUGGCGGGGUAAUGGCCCACCAAGACGAUGAUCGAUAUCCGGCCUGAGAGGGCGCACGGACACACUGGAACUGAAACACGGUCCAGACUCCUACGGGAGGCAGCAGUGGGGAAUUUUGCGCAAUGGGGGAAACCCUGACGCAGCAACGCCGCGUGGAGGAUGAAAUAUCUUGGUAUGUAAACUCCUUUCGAUGGGAAGAUAAUGACGGUACCAUAGAAGAAGCCCCGGCUAACUUCGCGCCAGCAGCCGC
RNAcentral lists this ribosomal RNA (458 nucleotides) under uncultured bacterium. RNAcentral's name for it is "SSU rRNA". It matches the Rfam family "Bacterial small subunit ribosomal RNA", at positions 26 to 518 of the family's 1533-position model. The record is from RNAcentral.